Molecule: ribosomal RNA, 419 nt
Filed under: uncultured bacterium
Lineage: Bacteria
Description: bacterial SSU rRNA
Rfam family: Bacterial small subunit ribosomal RNA
Source: RNAcentral
GAUGAACGCUAGCGGCAGGCCUAAUACAUGCAAGUCGAGGGGCGGCGCAGUGUAGCAAUACAUGGGCGGCGACCGGCAAACGGGUGCGGAACACGUACACAACCUUCCUUUUAGUGGAGCAUAGCCCAGGGAAACUUGGAUUAAUACUCCGUAACAUAACGAGAUGGCAUCUUCUUGUUAUUAUAGAAGCAAUUCGCUAGAAGACGGGUGUGCGGCUGAUUAGAUAGUUGGCGGGGUAACGGCCCACCAAGGUCCACGAUCAGUAACUGGUGUGAGAGCACGACCAGUCACACGGGCACUGAGACACGGGCCCCGACUCCUACGGGAGGCAGCAGUAAGGAAUNUUGGUCAAUGGACGCAAGUCUGAACCAGCCAUGCCGCGUGGAGGAUGAAGGCCCUCUGGGUUGUAAACUUCUUUU